GACGAACCGAGCGAACGUUAUUCGGAAUCACUGGGCUUAAAGGGUGCGUAGGCGGGCUGUCAAGUCUGGGGUGAAAUCCCACGGCUCAACCGUGGAACUGCCUUAGAUACUGAUGGCCUCGAGGAAGGUAGGGGCAUGCGGAACUGUAGGUGGAGCGGUGAAAUGCGUUGAUAUCUACAGGAACUCCGGUGGCGAAAGCGGCGUGCUGGACCUUUUCUGACGCUGAGGCACGAAAGCUAGGGGAGCAAACAGG
This 253-nucleotide ribosomal RNA is filed under the name uncultured bacterium. Its description in RNAcentral is "partial 16S ribosomal RNA". It matches the Rfam family "Bacterial small subunit ribosomal RNA", at positions 524 to 776 of the family's 1533-position model. The record is from RNAcentral.